GAAGGUAUAGCUCAGUGGUAGAGUGUGUGCUUAGCAUGCAUGAGGUUCUGGGUUCAAUUUCCAAUACCUCCG
RNAcentral lists this transfer RNA (72 nucleotides) under Camelus bactrianus (Bactrian camel). It matches the Rfam family "tRNA". From Rfam's summary of the family: Transfer RNA (tRNA) molecules are approximately 80 nucleotides in length. Lineage: Eukaryota; Metazoa; Chordata; Mammalia; Artiodactyla; Camelidae. RNAcentral also lists the same sequence under 2 other names. The record is from Rfam by way of RNAcentral.